GACGAACGCUGGCGGCGUGCUUAACACAUGCAAGUCGAACGGAAAGGCCCUGCUUUUGUGGGUUGCUCGAGUGGCGAACGGGUGAGUAACACGUGAGUAACCUGCCCUUGACUUUGGGAUAACUUCAGGAAACUGGGGCUAAUACCGGAUAGGAGCUCCUGCUGCAUGGUGGGGGUUGGAAAGUUUCGGCGGUUGGGGAUGGACUCGCGGCUUAUCAGCUUGUUGGUGGGGUAGUGGCUUACCAAGGCUUUGACGGGUAGCCGGCCUGAGAGGGUGACCGGCCACAUGGGGACUAAGAGACGGCCCAGACUCCUACGGGAGGCAGAAGUGGGGAAUAUUGCACAAUGGGCGGAAGCCUGAUGCAGCAACGCCGCGUGCGGGAUGACGGCCUUCGGGUUGUAAACCGCUUUCGCCUGUGACGAAGCGUGAGUGACGGUAAUGGGUAAAGAAGCACCGGCUAACUACGUG
Molecule: ribosomal RNA, 468 nt
Filed under: uncultured bacterium
Lineage: Bacteria
Description: partial 16S ribosomal RNA
Rfam family: Bacterial small subunit ribosomal RNA
Source: RNAcentral